RNAcentral lists this ribosomal RNA (497 nucleotides) under uncultured bacterium. Its description in RNAcentral is "bacterial SSU rRNA". It matches the Rfam family "Bacterial small subunit ribosomal RNA", at positions 903 to 1397 of the family's 1533-position model. The record is from RNAcentral.
AAAGGAAUAGACGGGGGCCCGCACAAGCAGCGGAGCAUGUGGUUUAAUUCGAAGCAACGCGAAGAACCUUACCAGGACUUGACAUCCUACUAAUCUUUAGGAAACUAGGGAGUGCCCUUCGGGGAAAGUAGAGACAGGUGGUGCAUGGUUGUCGUCAGCUCGUGUCGUGAGAUGUUGGGUUAAGUCCCGCAACGAGCGCAACCCCUAUACUUAGUUACCAGCAUGAAAGAUGGGGACUCUAGGUAGACUGCCGUGGAUAACACGGAGGAAGGCGGGGACGACGUCAAAUCAUCAUGCCCCUUAUGUUCUGGGCUACACACGUGCUACAAUGGCUGUCAACAAAGGGAAGCGAAGCCGUAAGGUGGAGCAAAUCUCACAAAAGCAGUCUUAGUUCGGAUUGUGGGCUGCAACCCGCCCACAUGAAGUUGGAGUUGCUAGUAAUCGCGAAUCAGAACGUCGCGGUGAAUGCGUUCCCGGGCCUUGUACACACCGCCCGU